UUGAACGCUGGCGGAAUGCUUUACACAUGCAAGUCGAGCGGCAGCGCGGGGGCAACCCUGGCGGCGAGCGGCGAACGGGUGAGUAAUGUAUCGGAACGUACCCAGUCGUGGGGGAUAACUAUCCGAAAGGAUAGCUAAUACCGCAUACGUCCUGAGGGAGAAAGCGGGGGAUCGCAAGACCUCGCGCGAUUGGAGCGGCCGAUAUCGGAUUAGCUAGUUGGUGAGGUAAAGGCUCACCAAGGCGACGAUCCGUAGCUGGUCUGAGAGGACGACCAGCCACACUGGAACUGAGACACGGUCCAGACUCCUACGGGAGGCAGCAGUGGGGAAUUUUGGACAAUGGGGGCAACCCUGAUCCAGCCAUUCCGCGUGAGUGAAGAAGGCCUUCGGGUUGUAAAGCUCUUUCAGCAGGAACGAAACGGUGGCCCCUAAUACGGGCUACUAAUGACGGUACCUGAAGAAGAAGCACCGGCUAACUACGU
This 482-nucleotide ribosomal RNA is filed under the name uncultured bacterium. RNAcentral's name for it is "bacterial SSU rRNA". It matches the Rfam family "Bacterial small subunit ribosomal RNA", at positions 29 to 506 of the family's 1533-position model. The record is from RNAcentral.